Long non-coding RNA from Homo sapiens (human), 1035 nucleotides. Ensembl annotates it as long intergenic non-protein coding RNA 1635. NCBI's taxonomy places the organism in Eukaryota, Metazoa, Chordata, Mammalia, Primates, Hominidae. The record is from Ensembl.
GGAGGGGCAUAGGUUGGAAGGGGUGGGCCGGGUCUCUCUAGCCUCCGCGGUACUACGCAGCUUCAUGGUUUUAACUCUUGGUGGUCUUUUGACCGUCCUCAGUCCUUACCGUGCGGAGUUUUGGAUACAUUCUUAGCAGCUUUUUCGCUCCGGAGAAGUUCUUUAUCUUUCUGAGCCGCAGUUUGCCCAACUGCAAAAUGGAAAGAGAUGAAGCAGGAAUUAAGAUACUCUAGGAGCUCGCCCACAGCUGAUUCAGGGCCCCAUUCUGAGGUUACACCCUUAAGCCUUUGCACCACUCAAAGGAAGGAAACCAAGAGAGAGGGGUGGCUGGCUGCUGUUUGGAGACAGUGGUCCUUGUAUUGGCGCCCCGCGGAAUCACUCCAGAUGAGUCAGUGGAUACAGUCUAUAGGUCCCGCCUCAUUGACUUUUCCAGUUGCUACCAGACUACGCACUGUCGCCUGAUGGUUAAGAACUGAAGCUUUAGCCGUGCGCGGUGGCUCACGCCUGUAAUCCCAGCACUUUAGGAGGCAGAGGCGUGUGGAUCACCUGAGGUCACGAGUUCGAGACCAGCUUGACCAACAAGCUGGCAUAUCCGAAUGGGCUGAGCUACCGGAUUAAGAGGGACACCCCAAAGCCCCCAUUGCUGGGUUAUUGCUCCAGAGCCAAUGUUCUUGGGGAAAGGAAGAUAUGCCCUUUGUCAACAUUGCCACUGCUGGUCUGUAAACUCCUAGACGGCCAGCUGGUGGUUCACAAACCAGGACUCCUUGCUCUGGCCCUACCCCUACCUACCAGAAUGACCGUGAACCCUUCCCCACUCACUCCUACAACCAGGUUUCCAUCUCCUCUCUCAGCUUAGGUUUCCCUAACUGUAAAAUAAAAGGGUUGGACUAGGUUAAGGACUUCCUGCUAUUUCUCUCUCCCACACUCUAAGGUUCCUUAGGAAUGCUUCAGAAAACAGCAGGGGUUGGGGCAAGGAUGCCGCUUGAGUCCCAGAGCAACUCCAAUUUCAUAGGCACAUAAAUUUAUGUGAAAGUA